GGGGGGGGCGGUAUGGACAAGCCCCAGGGAAAAUGCACACAGGCUGUGCUUCCCAGGUGCCCUCUGCAGGAGCGCUCCCUACCCCUAGACUUAGCCUUGGGCCUUUGCAGCCCGACUGGAGCUGUCAGAGGCGCCACCUGGUGUUGGUGGGGACACACUGGAACCAGGGAGUUGGGGGCAGAGGUCUGGUGGAAAUGUGUCCUAGGGGCCACACCCCAGUGACAGGGUGAGCACCGAGAGGAAUAAGAUGGCCCCCAACCUGGGGAGGGGACUGUCUUUGGGGUAACUACUUACCCCAGCUCUUCAGGGACCAGAAAUAUUUUGCUUCUGGCUAAAAGCUUAGGCAAUCAUUCCAUGUGUUUUGUGAAGUCACAGUGGACGGUGAGCUGAGGUGGACCCUCACGACGAAAAUGCAAAAUGGUAAACAGGACAAACGCCCAAGAAGAGAGAAGGGAGUCCUAAUGGGCACGAAGUGUGGUAGUGGCUUCAGCCUGGAGGCUGCAGCACUGUGGUCCCCACUCAGGCCCACGGGCAGGGCCCCCUCUCCACACUGGUGGGCUAGCUGGGGAAGGGAGCUCUUUAUUCAGUUUUCAAAAGGACUCAGUGGCAGAGCCAUGCUUCCCCCCCCACCCCCUUUUCCUCUCCUGCCUGCCUUUGGUUCUUCAAAGUCUGAACUCACAAGGGGGCAUGGAGGGAGGGGAGUGGCUCAUCCUGUCCCCCAGCUCACCUCAUGCCCGUGACAUUCCUGCUUCCCCAGCCUCCCCACCCCCCACAGGAGUAGCCUGGGAGCCAGAGAGGCCCGCUCGUUGCCAGCUAGGAUGAGCAGGCGGGGCAGCCCUGGUUGGGGCCCACUGAGCCAGUGGACCAGUAUCCUGAGAUGAGUCUCCAGAGAGCUGUCCCAAGCGGGCGCGUGGCAGCUAGUGAGUCAGGAAACCUUGCAGCCCACUGAGCAGGCGGUCAGGAGCUCGGAGCCAGUGCUGCGGAAGGCACCCUGCAGCACGGCGGGUCUGCAGCCAAGAAAGAAGAUGUGCACAGCAGGCCACAGUAUGCCACCAUCAGGGCCACGGCAAGACCUCCCUGCGCCCCAGGACGGUGCAGCCCUGGGGCGCAGAGAGGCCUUUUGGGGGUCAGAGCCCCAAGAGGCAACCAGGAGGAAGGCCAGGAGCCCUGGGCUAGAGAAGCGGUGGGAGGCAGUGAGAACCCCACUCUUGGGGGCUGUUUACAGCCAGGAGCAUCAGAGGCCCCAGCUAUGGGACAAUGACAAGAGGGCGCCUGGACAGAUGGCAGGCCACACUUCAGUCACUUCCUGCCCAACUGUGGUCUGGCCUUUCCCUCCCUGCCCCAGGUGUGGUGCUGAGCUCAUGGAGGACACAGAGGGCGGAGGCCGCCGCCCCCAGCAGGACUGCCUGCAGGGGCAGCUCUGAGCCCUCGGCUGAGCCCGGCUGGACAGGGCAGCUGCCGGCCAGGAUGGAGGCCCUCUCCCGUCCUUCAGCCAAAAUCUGGAGAAACCUUCCCUGACUAUCCCAACUCAACUCUCAUUUACCCAAGCCGACAGAGUCACUUGUUACAGCCACUAGUGUGGCAGGGGUGCUCCGUGUAUCCGUGACCUGGGUGAGUGGCCUCCCAGGUCUCUCAUGGCCUGUGGGGGCAGUUGGGGGGUGGGGACAGCCAGGUCUUAGAGAACCAGGUGGCCUCAGCCCCUACACUGGCUGGUUGGACUAAGCCGAGCCCAUCCUGCGCUCAGUGACACCCACGGAGCUCCACACCCGGCCCAGCUACUCACAGUUCCAGUCAGCAUUUCAUACAGCAGAGACCCAAAGCUCCACCAGUCACAGGCCUCCGUCAGCUCAGAGAUCCCCCCCACCUCUGUGGGAAUAAGAACACACACAUCCCAGCCUCACCCAGGAGGGCUGGUCUCCACUCUACUCGUCCUACCCAGACGUGGCCCCUUCCCUCUGUCACCCUCAGUGCCCCCCAGCUCAACCCACAGAGGCACCCAAGAUCUAGACACCGCCCCCCCCGCCAUCCCCGCUCCCUUCUUGCCUGGGGCGCUGUAGAGAUUGUCCAAAGCCUCCCUGCAGCAGUGAGGCUCCACCUCUGACCACUGGCCAAAAUACGUGAGCCGGAUGUGACCUUCUCAUCCAGUGCACGCAGGGAGGAAUAAAGGUGAACAAAAAUCGUGGUCCGUCAUCACUGAGCAGGUGAUGACGGACCAGAGCCUCCCCCCACAAGUCACAGAGCAGGAGCCAGCGGCCACACUGGGCACAGCCACCCUCAGGCCUGGUCCCCUGAGGCUCAGAGACAACCAGGUAUUCCUGGGAGCUGCCGCCCUGGACUCGGGGUGAGGAGGGGAGGGCUGGUUUUCCAGGCUCGACCUUGGCCAACCAGACUGUGUGGAGUCCUGCAUGAAAAGGCCGGGGGGAGGCAGAGGGGGCAGAUAGCUUCCGAGGUCCCCUUGACCUUGGGGCCCUCUCAUGCUGGGUUGGAGGCUUUGGGGGCCCCGUGUGAGAGGUGGGGUGAGGGCGGCCUAAUCCCUGCGCCCCGGCCUAGGCACCUACCUGCCUGGUCCAAAAGCAGGUUCCGGGGAUUGAGGUCUCGGCACAGCACCCCCUGCUCGUGCAGUGCUUCCAGGGCCACCAGCAUCUCGGCAGCCCACCGCUUCACCUGCUCUUCCUUCACACACCAGGCACCCCUGCCGCACCCCGGGCUGGCCCGAUCUGCUAAGGGGCGGCUCUGGCUUCGGCCUCGGCCACAGGCCCCCAGCACCCGGACAGCCCCCUGAUGAACCCAAGGGAGCCCCCAAGAGGGCCUCAUGUCCGAGCUCUGGCCAGGUCCUCGCCCAGUUUGGAGGUGCAGGCGGCCACCUGGGGCCUUCAGAAGGUCCGAGGGGCAGGAGGUAUGGGUCCUGGCCGAGGGGUCACCUUCGGUCUCUCUCCAUGGAGUGAUGGAUGGGGCCUCCCUGGCUGGGGAAAGACUCCGAGAAGUCCGUGGAGGCUCCAGAAGGAUCCUGUCCUGCAGGUGGGUGGGGCCCAGGGGGAGCAGCGCUGGGGUCUGGAGGCCGAGGGGUGAGUUGAGUGAAGACUUCGUCCUUUCUGGGGUGGAGCCAGACCUGAGCCCAGGUUGUUGGGGGUGCUUCUGGGAGAGCAGGUGGGACCAGAGAGUGCCUCCUGGGCCAUGCAGGGGGGGCAGGGGAGAGGAAGAGUGUGGACACCAGGUCCCCAACUCCUGCCUCCCCUCAUGUCCUCACCUGUGCCCCCUCCCUCCUCAGCCUGGAAUGCCCUCUGCUGUCCCUCUGACUCACCCAGAGGGGACCCUGCCUCACAAGCUGGCACAAAAUAGGGGCUUAACCCCAAGGUAGUUGUAAAUUAUCACUCCUGUCCUUGGUUUGGGUGGUAGGUUCCCCAGUGCUCAAUAUAUUACACUUUCUACUUUCUUUUCUUUUCUUUUUUUU
Canis lupus familiaris (dog) is the source of this 3451-nucleotide long non-coding RNA. RefSeq lists it as uncharacterized. Lineage: Eukaryota; Metazoa; Chordata; Mammalia; Carnivora; Canidae. The record is from RefSeq and is a predicted model, not a curated record. The transcript is spliced from 3 exons.